GAUGAAGAACGCAGCGAAAUGCGAUAAGUAAUGUGAAUUGCAGAAUUCAGUGAAUCAUCGAAUCUUUGAACGCACCUUGCGCUCCUUGGUAUUCCAAAGAGCAUGCCUGUUUGAGUAUCAUUAAAUUAUCAACUGUACCAAUUUGGUUGCAGAUUGGAUGUGGGAGAUUUUGCAGGCUUUUGAUUUCUCUUUGAGAAAACGGUCAGCUCUCCUGAAAUAUAUUAGCAGUGCCUUUGUUGGUUCAUUAGGUGUGAUAAUUUAUCUACAUCUUCACAUGGUACCUUCAUUUGUGUAAAGGUCAUAUUGCUUCUAAUUGUCUUUGGACAUAAAAAAAAAAAAACAUAUAAUUGUAUGGAAAACUUGAUCUCAAAUCAGGCAGGACUACCCGCUGAACUUAAGCAUAUCAAUAAGCGGAGGA
This 418-nucleotide unclassified non-coding RNA is filed under the name soil metagenome. Its description in RNAcentral is "partial contains 5.8S ribosomal RNA, internal transcribed spacer 2, and large subunit ribosomal RNA". The stretch from base 1 to 120 matches the Rfam family "5.8S ribosomal RNA", at positions 35 to 154 of the family's 154-position model. The record is from RNAcentral.